GGGGCUAUAGCUCACUUGGUAGAGCGUCUCGUUCGCAAUGAGAAGGUCAGGGGUUCGAUUCCCCUUAGCUCCA
Molecule: transfer RNA, 73 nt
Filed under: Prosthecobacter fusiformis
Lineage: Bacteria; Pseudomonadati; Verrucomicrobiota; Verrucomicrobiia; Verrucomicrobiales; Verrucomicrobiaceae
Description: tRNA-Ala
Rfam family: tRNA
About the family: Transfer RNA (tRNA) molecules are approximately 80 nucleotides in length. Their secondary structure includes four short double-helical elements and three loops (D, anti-codon, and T loops).
Source: RNAcentral